RNAcentral lists this ribosomal RNA (301 nucleotides) under uncultured bacterium. RNAcentral's name for it is "partial 16S ribosomal RNA". It matches the Rfam family "Bacterial small subunit ribosomal RNA", at positions 509 to 807 of the family's 1533-position model. The record is from RNAcentral.
CAGCAGCCGCGGGAAUACGAGGGGGGCAAGCGUUGUUCGGAAUUAUUGGGCGUAAAGGGUGCGUAGGCGGUUUGGCAAGUUUGGUGUGAAAUCUUCGGGCUCAACUCGAAGUCUGCAUCGAAAACUACCGGGCUUGAGUAUGGGAGAGGUGAGUGGAAUUUCCGGUGUAGCGGUGAAAUGCGUAGAUAUCGGAAGGAACACCUGUGGCGAAAGCGGCUCACUGGACCAUAACUGACGCUGAUGCACGAAAGCUAGGGGAGCAAACAGGAUUAGAUACCCGUGUAGUCCCUGUCUCUUAUAC